RNAcentral lists this ribosomal RNA (253 nucleotides) under uncultured bacterium. Its description in RNAcentral is "partial 16S ribosomal RNA". It matches the Rfam family "Bacterial small subunit ribosomal RNA", at positions 524 to 776 of the family's 1533-position model. The record is from RNAcentral.
UACGGAGGGUGCAAGCGUUGUUCGGAAUCACUGGGCGUAAAGCGCGUGUAGGCGGCCUUCUUAGUCUGGUGUGAAAGCCCGGGGCUCACCCCCGGAAGUGCAUUGGAUACUGGAAGGCUGGAGUACCGGAGAGGAGGGUGGAAUUCCUGGUGUAGCGGUGAAAUGCGUAGAUAUCAGGAGGAACACCGGUGGCGAAGGCGGUUCUCUGGGCCUUACCUGACGCUGAGGAGCGAAAGCGUGGGGAGCAAACAGG